GACGAACGCUGGCGGCGUGCCUAAUACAUGCAAGUAGAACGCUGAAGAGAGGAGCUUGCUCUUCUUGGAUGAGUUGCGAACGGGUGAGUAAUGCGUAGGUAACCUGCCUUGUAGCGGGGGAUAACUAUUGGAAACGAUAGCUAAUACCGCAUAACAAUGGAUGACACAUGUCAUUUAUUUGAAAGGGGCAAUUGCUCCACUACAAGAUGGACCUGCGUUGUAUUAGCUAGUAGGUGAGGUAAUGGCUCACCUAGGCGACGAUACAUAGCCGACCUGAGAGGGUGAUCGGCCACACUGGGACUGAGACACGGCCCAGACUCCUACGGGAGGCAGCAGUAGGGAAUCUUCGGCAAUAGGGGCAACCCUGACCGAGCAACGCCGCGUGAGUGAAGAAGGUUUUCGGAUCGUAAAGCUCUGUUGUAAGUCAAGAACGGGUGUGAGAGUGGAAAGUUCACACUGUGACGGUAGCUUACCAGAAAGGGACGGCUAACUACGUG
This 497-nucleotide ribosomal RNA is filed under the name uncultured bacterium. RNAcentral's name for it is "partial 16S ribosomal RNA". It matches the Rfam family "Bacterial small subunit ribosomal RNA", at positions 28 to 507 of the family's 1533-position model. The record is from RNAcentral.